AUUGAACGCUGGCGGCAGGCCUAACACAUGCAAGUCGAGCGGAUGAAGGGAGCUUGCUCCUGGAUUCAGCGGCGGACGGGUGAGUAAUGCCUAGGAAUCUGCCUGGUAGUGGGGGAUAACGUCCGGAAACGGGCGCUAAUACCGCAUACGUCCUGAGGGAGAAAGUGGGGGAUCUUCGGACCUCACGCUAUCAGAUGAGCCUAGGUCGGAUUAGCUAGUUGGUGGGGUAAAGGCCUACCAAGGCGACGAUCCGUAACUGGUCUGAGAGGAUGAUCAGUCACACUGGAACUGAGACACGGUCCAGACUCCUACGGGAGGCACCAGUGGGGAAUGUUGGACAAUGGGCGGAAGCCUGGUCCAGCCAUGCCGCGUGUGUGAAGAAGGUCUUCGGAUUGUAAAGCACUUUAAGUUGGGAGGAAGGGCAGUAAGUUAAUACCUUGCUGUUUUGACGUUACCAACAGAAUAAGCACCGGCUAACUUCGUG
Molecule: ribosomal RNA, 484 nt
Filed under: uncultured bacterium
Lineage: Bacteria
Description: partial 16S ribosomal RNA
Rfam family: Bacterial small subunit ribosomal RNA
Source: RNAcentral